Molecule: ribosomal RNA, 167 nt
Filed under: uncultured rumen bacterium
Lineage: Bacteria
Description: partial 16S ribosomal RNA
Rfam family: Bacterial small subunit ribosomal RNA
Source: RNAcentral
UACGGGAGGCAGCAGUCGGGAAUAUUGCGCAAUGGAGGAAACUCUGAUGCAGCGACGCCGCGUGAGUGACGAAGUGUUUCGGCAUGUAAAGCUCUAUCAGCAGGGAAGAAAAUGACGGUACCUGACUAAGAAGCCCCGGCUAACUACGUGCCAGCAGCCGCGGUAAU